GUGCUCAUUUUGGUAGCACAUAUACUGAAAUUAGAAUGAUAUAGAGAUUAGCAUGGGCCUUGUGCAAGGGUGACAAGCAAAUUUGUGAAGUGUUCCAUAUUUAA
RNAcentral lists this small nuclear RNA (104 nucleotides) under Sciurus vulgaris (Eurasian red squirrel). The record is from RNAcentral. Lineage: Eukaryota; Metazoa; Chordata; Mammalia; Rodentia; Sciuridae.